AGCUUCCUGCUUGACAUAACUCACUUCAAGAAGAGCACAAUGUCAGAACGUGGAAUUAAGUGGGCUUGUGAAUACUGUACGUACGAAAACUGGCCAUCUGCCAUCAAGUGUACAAUGUGUCGUGCCCAGAGACCAAGUGGAACAAUUAUCACAGAAGAUCCAUUUAAAAGCGGUUCAAGUGAUGUUGGUAGAGAUUGGGAUCCUUCCAGCACUGAAGGAGGAAGUAGUCCUUUGAUAUGUCCAGACUCUAGUGCAAGACCAAGGGUUAAGUCUUCGUACAGCAUGGAAAAUGCAAAUAAAUGGUCAUGCCACAUGUGCACAUAUUUGAACUGGCCAAGAGCAAUCAGAUGUACCCAGUGCUUAUCCCAGCGUAGGACCAGGAGUCCCACGGAGUCUCCUCAAUCCUCAGGAUCUGGCUCAAGACCAG
This 427-nucleotide long non-coding RNA is filed under the name Lynx pardinus (Iberian lynx). The record is from RNAcentral. Lineage: Eukaryota; Metazoa; Chordata; Mammalia; Carnivora; Felidae.